UUCACUGGCACGGGAGAGGCAUGGGGUUCUGGAGGAAAGAACACGGCUGUUGAGGUAGAGCCGGGUGCAUUCUGCUCCCUGUGCCUCAGUUUCCUCCUCUGUAAGAAUCAGAUACUACUAGUAUUAGAUGUGCUGUCCUGAAAGCCAGCGGCAAGAAGUCCAACUCCCUUGAGACAGCCAUGCUGUGAGGAAGCCCAAGCACGCCAUGUGUACGAGCGAGGCGACACAGAGGACUGAGGUGUCAGACACUGGACUACUAGAGGUGAUGAUCCAAUAAAGAAGGGAGUAAACCAAGGUGGGAACCCACAGAAUGGAGGAAGCAAGGGAUCUACAGCAUAAGAGGCAAUGUGAGUCCCCAUGAUGAUGGUGAAUGGAAAUUUCCAGACGACAUCUGUAUAAUGUCCAGUCUAAAUUGAAGAACAUGGAAGGAAGGCUCUGAAAGGAAGGUCUCCAAGAGUAAGAUGCAUAUGACAUAUUGGAGAUUAUGGAAAACAUUGAUAGAAUUGAAGUAGACUUUGUUAGAACAUGAGGAAAAAUUAAUGAUGCAUAGAAAAUCAGGCACAUGGGAAGAAAAGGAGGAAAUGGGUAACUCCAGUAAAAGUGAAGGAGUGGAUUAAGAAAUUUGGUAUGAACAUAGUGUUAAUGUGGUUCUCUAGUAAAUGCCAUUUGUGCAGUCAUGAGCGAGUAUAUAUACUGACUAUCGAUAUAACAUUGUUUUGUAACUAUGUUGGGGGGUAGGGAAUGGGAAGUAGGGAGGUAUAGGAGACUCAGUCCUUAUUUAUCAUUGUAGGAACUCAGUAUAGUAUCUCAAAAUGUAAAAUAAUGCAUUAAAUAUGGAUAGCUCCAGUCCCAUGGUUUUUUUUUUAAUUUUUUAUUGUUAUGUUAAUCACCAUAUAUUACAUAAUUUGUUUUGGUGUAGUGUUCCAUGAUUCAUUGUUUGUUCAUAACACCCAGUGCUCCAUGCUCCAGUCCCAUGGUUUUAAAUACCAUCUAUAAGACUUCCAAGUUUAAGAAGGUGAGGAGAAGACAUUCCUACUUCUUUUUCUCUCAAAAAUUACCUCAAAACAACGAAGAAAAUAAACAGAAAUACAAACUCUAUCCUUGAUGUUAGAAGACACUGCAAUUCUGAACCAUUACAUGUGAAGCUAAGUGGCUAGAAGAAUGACAAAUGACAAAAAAAGUGAAUAAAGAUGAACCCAAAUGCCAGUAGAAGUAUAAUUUAUUUACAAUAAAAUUCACAAUUUUAAGUGUACAUGAUGAGUUUUGGCAUAUAUAUAUAUCUACUACAAAAAAAUAUGAUUUAGAACAUUGCAGUCAGUUCCUAUCUCUAAGCCCCAAACCCCUAGCAAACACUGAUCUGCUAUCAUCACCAUAGACUUGCCUUUUCUUUUUUUUUUUUAAGAUUUUAUUUAUUUAUUUGAGAGAGAGACAAAGAUUGAGAGAGAGCAUGAGUGGGGGGCAGGAGGAGGCAGAAGGAGAGGGAGAAGCAGACUUCCCCACUGAGGAGGAGCCUGAGGACACAGGGUUCCAUCCCAGGUCCCCUGGGAUCAUGACCUGAACUGAAGGCAGACACUUAACCAACUCAGCCACCCAGCACCCCUAGACUUGCCUUUUCUAGAACUUUUCUAG
Zalophus californianus (California sea lion) is the source of this 1629-nucleotide long non-coding RNA. RefSeq lists it as uncharacterized. The record is from RefSeq and is a predicted model, not a curated record. The transcript is spliced from 3 exons. Lineage: Eukaryota; Metazoa; Chordata; Mammalia; Carnivora; Otariidae.